UACAGAGGGGGCAAGCGUUGUUCGGAAUUACUGGGCGUAAAGGGCGCGUAGGCGGCCUGCUAAGUCGAACGUGAAAUCCCUGGGCUCAACCCAGGAACUGCGUCCGAUACUGGUUGGCUUGAAUCCGGGAGAGGGAUGCGGAAUUCCCGGUGUAGCGGUGAAAUGCGCAGAUAUCGGGAGGAACACCAAUGGCGAAGGCAGCUUGCUGGGACGGUACUGACGCUGAGACGCGAAAGCGUGGGGAGCAAACAGG
This 253-nucleotide ribosomal RNA is filed under the name uncultured bacterium. RNAcentral's name for it is "partial 16S ribosomal RNA". It matches the Rfam family "Bacterial small subunit ribosomal RNA", at positions 524 to 776 of the family's 1533-position model. The record is from RNAcentral.